Molecule: ribosomal RNA, 1308 nt
Filed under: Escherichia coli
Lineage: Bacteria; Pseudomonadati; Pseudomonadota; Gammaproteobacteria; Enterobacterales; Enterobacteriaceae
Description: partial 23S ribosomal RNA
Rfam family: Bacterial large subunit ribosomal RNA
Source: RNAcentral
UUUUGUAUAAUGGGUCAGCGACUUAUAUUCUGUAGCAAGGUUAACCGAAUAGGGGAGCCGAAGGGAAACCGAGUCUUAACUGGGCGUUAAGUUGCAGGGUAUAGACCCGAAACCCGGUGAUCUAGCCAUGGGCAGGUUGAAGGUUGGGUAACACUAACUGGAGGACCGAACCGACUAAUGUUGAAAAAUUAGCGGAUGACUUGUGGCUGGGGGUGAAAGGCCAAUCAAACCGGGAGAUAGCUGGUUCUCCCCGAAAGCUAUUUAGGUAGCGCCUCGUGAAUUCAUCUCCGGGGGUAGAGCACUGUUUCGGCAAGGGGGUCAUCCCGACUUACCAACCCGAUGCAAACUGCGAAUACCGGAGAAUGUUAUCACGGGAGACACACGGCGGGUGCUAACGUCCGUCGUGAAGAGGGAAACAACCCAGACCGCCAGCUAAGGUCCCAAAGUCAUGGUUAAGUGGGAAACGAUGUGGGAAGGCCCAGACAGCCAGGAUGUUGGCUUAGAAGCAGCCAUCAUUUAAAGAAAGCGUAAUAGCUCACUGGUCGAGUCGGCCUGCGCGGAAGAUGUAACGGGGCUAAACCAUGCACCGAAGCUGCGGCAGCGACGCUUAUGCGUUGUUGGGUAGGGGAGCGUUCUGUAAGCCUGUGAAGGUGUGCUGUGAGGCAUGCUGGAGGUAUCAGAAGUGCGAAUGCUGACAUAAGUAACGAUAAAGCGGGUGAAAAGCCCGCUCGCCGGAAGACCAAGGGUUCCUGUCCAACGUUAAUCGGGGCAGGGUGAGUCGACCCCUAAGGCGAGGCCGAAAGGCGUAGUCGAUGGGAAACAGGUUAAUAUUCCUGUACUUGGUGUUACUGCGAAGGGGGGACGGAGAAGGCUAUGUUGACCGGGCGACGGUUGUCCCGGUUUAAGCGUGUAGGCUGGUUUUCCAGGCAAAUCCGGAAAAUCAAGGCUGAGGCGUGAUGACGAGGCACUACGGUGCUGAAGCAACAAAUGCCCUGCUUCCAGGAAAAGCCUCUAAGCAUCAGGUAACAUCAAAUCGUACCCCAAACCGACACAGGUGGUCAGGUAGAGAAUACCAAGGCGCUUGAGAGAACUCGGGUGAAGGAACUAGGCAAAAUGGUGCCGUAACUUCGGGAGAAGGCACGCUGAUAUGUAGGUGAAGCGACUUGCUCGUGGAGCUGAAAUCAGUCGAAGAUACCAGCUGGCUGCAACUGUUUAUUAAAAACACAGCACUGUGCAAACACGAAAGUGGACGUAUACGGUGUGACGCCUGCCCGGUGCCGGAAGGUUAAUUGAUGGGGUUAGCGGUAA